This 83-nucleotide transfer RNA is filed under the name Blumeria hordei DH14. Its description in RNAcentral is "tRNA-Asn for anticodon GUU". It matches the Rfam family "tRNA". Rfam says of the family: Transfer RNA (tRNA) molecules are approximately 80 nucleotides in length. Their secondary structure includes four short double-helical elements and three loops (D, anti-codon, and T loops). Lineage: Eukaryota; Fungi; Ascomycota; Leotiomycetes; Helotiales; Erysiphaceae. The record is from Rfam by way of RNAcentral.
UCCCUCGUGGCGCAAUUGGCUAGCGCGUUCGACUGUUACAAGAUGGCAUCGAGAGGUUGGUGGUUCGAGCCCACCCGAGGGAG